UCAUACUUUGGUAAGGAAUAUAUGUUGAGAAGUAGCAUAUUUAGCUAAAUAAAUACAUAUAAUUUGCUUCCAGAUACUGGGGGGAAGUCUAAUAUUGCUAAACGUAGAAACCAACUGUCUUGGAAAAUAUUGCUUGAAUUUUAUGAUAGCAGAAAGGAAAUAGGAUUAGUUUUUUGGGUACAGAAUUUGAUUAGUUUAGACAAGCGUUCAGAGUAUAAAAUUCUAGGAUAACAAUGUAAAGUUAUCUAUUCUGUCAAUGAAUCGGCCCUAUUGUUUCUAUCAUGAUGGGUCAAUUAUCAAAGUGUUUUUCUUUAAGAGUAAGAUAAUAAAUUAAAUAAUAAUAGUUGUCCUUACUAUUAUUAGUAUCUUCAUUGGUCUUUUUUAAAAUCUAUACCUAGUUGCUCAAAGGUUGUUAUAUGGAUGAGUAAUAUGAUAUUCUUACCAUUUUUUCUCUCAUACACCACCUUUUCUACACCUUAUAUUUCUUUCCAUUUCUCUUUUCCUUCCUAAUCACAUCAGCAAUCAUAGCUCUUUUCUCUUCCUAUUGCCCCCAUGCACCCCAAAAGCCGAAAGAGGUGUGGGAGAAACAUAUUUUCUAUAUUAAUAGCUUCCCUUCAAUUAGUUUCUUCAUAUUUUCUCUUAUUUUUGAGCAAUUUCACCUCACUUUACUAUGAUUGAAUAGCUAACAGAAAACAAAUAUAAACCCUGGGGAUUUUGUAGGGUAAUGCUGGUGGGAGUGGAGAUAAUGAUAGUGUUGUUGCAAGUACAUUCUUGAUCCGAAUGAAAACAGAAGAAGAUCGAAAUAAACUGGCUUCCAUUAUCCAAGAAUAUGCUCCAGUAUCUUGAAAUUACAAACAAUAGCCGUGAUAUUAUGCCUGCUUUGAGCCAUAGAUGUAAUUCAAUUUUCCCUUUUACAUAAUUUUUUAAGGUGUAAUUUGUUAGAUUAUGUGUUGCCAAACCUUGUGCUUAGGAGACUGUUGGCUACUUGGCUUUUGUACCAUAACUCCAUAAGAGAAGAAUGUAGGUGACUCUGAUCAGCUAUAGUACCUUUGAUCAAUGCAAUUGUUAUUUUAAGGUAAUGCAUAUUGCAUACAUUACUUGGGC
RNAcentral lists this long non-coding RNA (1104 nucleotides) under Lupinus angustifolius (narrow-leaved blue lupine). RNAcentral describes it as "long non-coding RNA (LANG_LNC000924)". The record is from RNAcentral. Lineage: Eukaryota; Viridiplantae; Streptophyta; Magnoliopsida; Fabales; Fabaceae.